GACGAACGCUGGCGGCGUGCUUAACACAUGCAAGUCGAACGCUGAAGCCUAGCUUUUGUUGGGUGGAUGAGUGGCGAACGGGUGAGUAACACGUGAGUAACCUGCCCCCUUCUUUGGGAUAACGCCCGGAAACGGGUGCUAAUACUGGAUAUUCACUGAUCUUCGCAUGGGGGUUGGUGGAAAGGUUUUUUCUGGUGGGGGAUGGGCUCGCGGCCUAUCAGCUUGUUGGUGGGGUGAUGGCCUACCAAGGCUUUGACGGGUAGCCGGCCUGAGAGGGUGACCGGUCACAUUGGGACUGAGAUACGGCCCAGACUCCUACGGGAGGCAGCAGUGGGGAAUAUUGCACAAUGGGCGAAAGCCUGAUGCAGCGACGCCGCGUGAGGGAUGGAGGCCUUCGGGUUGUAAACCUCUUUCGCUCAUGGUCAAGCCGCAACAUUGGUUGUGGUGAGGGUAGUGGGUAAAGAAGCGCCGGCUAACUACGUGCCAGCAGCCGCGGUAAUACGUAGGGCGCGAGCGUUGUCCGGAAUUAUUGGGCGUAAAGGGCUUGUAGGCGGUUGGUCGCGUCUGCCGUGAAAUCCUCUGGCUUAACUGGGGGCGUGCGGUGGGUACGGGCUGACUUGAGUGCGGUAGGGGAGACUGGAACUCCUGGUGUAGCGGUGGAAUGCGCAGAUAUCAGGAAGAACACCCGUGGCGAAGGCGGGUCUCUGGGCCGUUACUGACGCUGAGGAGCGAAAGCGUGGGGAGCGAACAGG
RNAcentral lists this ribosomal RNA (752 nucleotides) under uncultured Actinomyces sp. Its description in RNAcentral is "bacterial SSU rRNA". It matches the Rfam family "Bacterial small subunit ribosomal RNA", at positions 28 to 776 of the family's 1533-position model. Lineage: Bacteria; Bacillati; Actinomycetota; Actinomycetes; Actinomycetales; Actinomycetaceae. The record is from RNAcentral.